GGGACAACCUGGAGCUAUUCUCCUUUUCUUUUCUCAGACCCUAAGAGCUGGCAAAUCUCCUGAUCCUUGGUAUAGAAGACCAUGGGGCUGUUUAUAACAAGAGAAAACUGUCUUGCAACAAUUGAUGCUGUUGGUCUUUGGAGAUAUUCAUAAAUCUGCAUCCAUGUGGAGGCCAUUAAAUGCCCAGAUGCUACAUUUCCUGCAACCCUGGCUUGCUUUUUAGAGAUUAAAAAAAAAAAAAGAGAAAAUGAUU
Long non-coding RNA from Sarcophilus harrisii (Tasmanian devil), 253 nucleotides. RefSeq lists it as uncharacterized. The transcript is spliced from 2 exons. The record is from RefSeq and is a predicted model, not a curated record. Lineage: Eukaryota; Metazoa; Chordata; Mammalia; Dasyuromorphia; Dasyuridae.